AGAGUUUGAUCAUGGCUCAGGAUGAACGCUAGCUACAGGCUUAACACAUGCAAGUCGAGGGGAACGACAUCGAAAGCUUGCUUUUGAUGGGCGUCGACCGGCGCACGGGUGAGUAACGCGUAUCCAACCUGCCCAUCACUUGGGGAUAACCUUGCGAAAGUAAGACUAAUACCCAAUGAUAUCUCUAGAAGGCAUCUGAAAGAGAUUAAAGAUUUAUCGGUGAUGGAUGGGGAUGCGUCUGAUUAGCUUGUUGGCGGGUAACGGCCACCAAAGCACGAUCAGUAGGGGUCUGAGAGGAAGGUCCCCACAUUGGAACUGAGACACGGUCCAAACUCCUACGGGAGGCA
RNAcentral lists this ribosomal RNA (347 nucleotides) under uncultured bacterium. Its description in RNAcentral is "bacterial SSU rRNA". It matches the Rfam family "Bacterial small subunit ribosomal RNA", at positions 8 to 350 of the family's 1533-position model. The record is from RNAcentral.